GUGGGGAAUAUUGGACAAUGGGCGCAAGCCUGAUCCAGCCAUGCCGCGUGUGUGAAGAAGGCCUUCGGGUUGUAAAGCACUUUCAGUGGGGAGGAAGGGCAGUGGGUUAAUACCUUGCUGUUUUGACGUUACCCACAGAAUAAGCACCGGCUAACUCCGUGCCAGCAGCCGCGGUAAUACGGAGGGUGCAAGCGUUAAUCGGAAUUACUGGGCGUAAAGCGCGCGCAGGCGGUUUGUUAAGUCGGAUGUGAAAUCCCCGGGCUCAACCUGGGAACUGCAUUCGAAACUGGCGAGCUAGAGUCUGGUAGAGGGGGGUGGAAUUNCCGGUGUAGCGGUGAAAUGCGUAGAUAUCGGNAGGAACACCGGUGGCGAAGGCGGCCCCCUGGACCAGAUACUGACGCUCAGGUGCGAAAGCGUGGGGAGCAAACAGGAUUAGAUACCC
RNAcentral lists this ribosomal RNA (442 nucleotides) under gamma proteobacterium SCGC AAA044-D16. RNAcentral's name for it is "bacterial SSU rRNA". It matches the Rfam family "Bacterial small subunit ribosomal RNA", at positions 354 to 787 of the family's 1533-position model. Lineage: Bacteria; Pseudomonadati; Pseudomonadota; Gammaproteobacteria. The record is from RNAcentral.